GACGAACGCUGGCGGCGUGCUUAACACAUGCAAGUCGAACGAUGAAGCUGGAGCUUGCUCCGGUGGAUUAGUGGCGAACGGGUGAGUAACACGUGAGCAAUCUGCCCUUGACUCUGGGAUAACUGCGGGAAACUGUAGCUAAUACCGGAUACGAGGCUCGAAGGCAUCUUCGGGUCUGGAAAGAAUUUCGGUCAAGGAUGAGCUCGCGGCCUAUCAGCUUGUUGGUGAGGUAAUGGCUCACCAAGGCGACGACGGGUAGCCGGCCUGAGAGGGUGACCGGCCACACUGGGACUGAGACACGGCCCAGACUCCUACGGGAGGCAGCAGUGGGGAAUAUUGCACAAUGGGCGAAAGCCUGAUGCAGCAACGCCGCGUGAGGGAUGACGGCCUUCGGGUUGUAAACCUCUUUUAGUAGGGAAGAAGCGAAAGUGACGGUACCUGCAGAAAAAGCACCGGCUAACUACGUGCCAGCCGCCGCAGUAA
Molecule: ribosomal RNA, 483 nt
Filed under: uncultured bacterium
Lineage: Bacteria
Description: partial 16S ribosomal RNA
Rfam family: Bacterial small subunit ribosomal RNA
Source: RNAcentral